UACGUAGGGGGCAAGCGUUGUCCGGAAUCAUUGGGCGUAAAGAGCGUGUAGGCGGCUCGAUAAGUCUGCUGUGAAAGUCCAGGGCUCAACCCUGGAAGGCCGGUGGAAACUGUCGGGCUAGAGUCCGGAAGAGGCGAGUGGAAUUCCCGGUGUAGCGGUGAAAUGCGCAGAUAUCAGGAGGAACACCGGUGGCGAAGGCGGGUCUCUGGGCCGAAACUGACGCUGAGGAGCGAAAGCGUGGGGAGCAAACAGG
Molecule: ribosomal RNA, 253 nt
Filed under: uncultured bacterium
Lineage: Bacteria
Description: partial 16S ribosomal RNA
Rfam family: Bacterial small subunit ribosomal RNA
Source: RNAcentral